Molecule: long non-coding RNA, 2348 nt
Organism: Cornus florida
Lineage: Eukaryota; Viridiplantae; Streptophyta; Magnoliopsida; Cornales; Cornaceae
Exons: 9
Source: RefSeq, a predicted model, not a curated record
UAUUUUUCUGAAAAGUAAAUUUUGGCGGAUUGAUGAAAAAAUGGCGGCUUUUUUUUUCAUCAAUCUCUAGCAGCGCGCCAAAAAGCUUAAGGUACCAUUUAUUCCUCCCAAAUUCGCACACAUCGAUCCACCAACCAAAAUCCCCACGAAACCCUAAUCAUCUAAGCCCAAAUUCCGCGAGUUUCACCUUCAGAUCGAGGAAAAUAACCCAGGUACAUAUCUAUGUUCUUGGUUCAUCUCGGUUCUUCUCUGAAUAUAUGUGUAUAUAUAUAUAUAUAUACAUAUAUACAUAUAUUUGGUUCAACACUUCGCACACAUCGAUCCAUCAACCAAAAUCCCCACGAAACCCUAAUCAUCUAAGCCCAAAUUUCGCGAGUUUCACCUUCAUAUCGAGGAAAAUAACCCAAGUACGUAUCUAUGUUCUUGGUUCAUCUCGGUUCUUCUCUGAAUAUAUAUAUAGAUAUAUAUUCAGAGAAGAACCGAGAUGGUGGAUUAGUCUAAGCCUCUCUAACACAGAUAUCAGCAAUGUCAACAAUUGGGCAUAUAUCUUCCCACACACCAUUGAUGAAGGCAGGAUAAUCUGGGAAAAGGUUCCAGGUUUCUGUUAUGACUAUUUAAGAGUAAUCUAGAUCCCUUGAAGUGAUUCAGGAAUCAGAACAUAGAGGGCUUUGGUUAAGAAGCACGUAGAAGACAACAAUACCUGGGUGGUUGUCAGGCAAAUCCUUUCUUUCACAUUAAAUGAGAAGGGUGCUUUUGUGAGGGAAAUACUUCUUGAAGAAUUGGCUAAGAUCAAUUUUUACAUCCUUUUCAUCAUGUCUAACCAUGCCGAGAGUUCUAGAAAAGUUACAAAAAGAUUAGAACGGGGGCGUCAAGCAAUUUUGGCUGGUAUGGUGCGUCAACCCUCAGUUAUACGCAUUUCUGAUGGGGGUUCAAACUCCCCUCGUACAUCCACAAGUGACCAAAAUGUAGUAGUUGGGCCGAACGUGGGAUAAGCUUGUAUUUUUGAGUUUUUGCUUAAAUGAUGCUUGAGGUUCAAGAUUAUCAUCUUCUUUUGGGAUACCUGGGUGUGCUUCUUUUGGGAUACACUAUUUGGUUUACAUGCACGGCCUGGGAUAAGUUUGCAUUUCUGAGUUUUUGCUUAAAUGAUGCUUUAGGUUCAAGAUUAUCAUCUUCUUUUGGGAUACCUGGGUGUGCUUCUUAGGGUAUUAGAAUAUGAUGAUGGGCACUACUAUGAAGAUAUCAAGACAAGAAAAACACAAGACCAAUUGGGUUGCCUAGAAGAGUGAGCAAUUGCCUUAAUAUUUUGAUUUUUUGUGGGUAUUGCUACUUGCCAGGUUACAUUUUUUGUGGGUAUACAUAUAUGUCAACAAUGAUGGAAUUGUACAUUGAAAUCUUUAAUGAAUAUAAGACUUCUUGAAAUUUAUUUGUUUGUGAUUGGUGGGAUUUGCCUUUUUUUAUUUUUUGUAAGGCUUGACAUAUUUUUUUGCAUGCAUCAAAUAUAUAUGUUGAUGUUGUUGAUUUGCAUAAGGUUUGGUAUGAAAAUAUAUGGAUUUGGGUGGAGUUUUGGCUGUGUAAUAUUUGUGGAAUGAGAUGUUGGAUGAGUGAUGAUUAUUGCCAGGUUUCUAUGUUUUAUAAAAAACAGGCAUAAUAUUUGUUUUGGGUGGAAACAAAAUAUAUAUAUAUAUAUAUAUAUAUAUAUAUAUAUAUAUAUAUUACUUUUCACAAUGGACAAAGUUCCUAGCAGAACAGGUAAAAAUUGUUGUGAAAAGUUACAUUUCUAAGACGGGCUAUGUCCGUCGUAGAAAAUUCCACCUUCUACAACGGGUAUACUUACCGGUUGUAGAAAAAUUGACUUUCUACGACAGGCAAUAAUCAUUGUGGAAAAUGACAGCUUCUACAACGGGUUACUUUCUAGGAGGGGCAACGUCCAUCGUAGAAAAGAACACCUUCUACAACGGGUCACUUUCUACAACGGCCAUUGCCCAUUGUCGUAGUAUGAACUUCAACCGUUGUAGAAAGUUUCCUUUCUACAAUGUGCUAGAACCGUUGUAGAAGACCCUAAGUCAACAAUGACCGUUGUAGAAAGUUUCCUUUCUACAACGUGCUAGAACCGUCAUAGAAGACCCUAAGUCAACAACGACAGGGGAUACCACAAUGGGCCAUGCCUGUUGUAGAACUGUUUUUCGCCCCUUGUUACAAGUCAUUUUUCUUGUAGUCCACCAAAACAAACAUAUAUGAACCAAAGCAGCACCCCAACUAUACAAACAAAAACUGAAUUUUACUCGAGACUAAGACAACACACCAACACAAACAAAAAAAAUAAUAAUAAAAAAAAAAUAAAAAAAAAA